AAUAAGUAUAUUUUUACACUGUUCAUAUCUCACGUUUAACCAUUCGUCUUAUUUGUAAUUUUUUACGAUUAAUAUUUUUAUUUUAUUGUUAUUAGAUGAUAAAACAUGAACAGUAUUUUAUGUGUGACUAACUUAUUUUAAUUUUCCCAUAAAUUUUUCAAAUAAGACGGAUGGUUAAAUGUUGGACACGGAUUUCCAUAGCUGUAUUUAUU
Molecule: non-coding RNA, 212 nt
Organism: Oryza meridionalis
Lineage: Eukaryota; Viridiplantae; Streptophyta; Magnoliopsida; Poales; Poaceae
Source: Rfam